CCUACGGGCGGCAGCAGUGGGGAAUAUUGGACAAUGGGGGCAACCCUGAUCCAGCCAUACCGCGUGUGUGAAGAAGGCCCUCGGGUUGUAAAGCACUUUCAGUGAGGAAGAACGCCUGGUGGUUAAUACCCAUCAGGAAAGACAUCACUCACAGAAGAAGCACCGGCUAACUCCGUGCCAGCAGCCGCGGUAAUACGGAGGGUGCGAGCGUUAAUCGGAAUUACUGGGCGUAAAGCGCGCGUAGGUGGCUUGAUAAGCCGGUUGUGAAAGCCCCGGGCUCAACCUGGGAACGGCAUCCGGAACUGUCAAGCUAGAGUGCAGGAGAGGAAGGUAGAAUUCCCGGUGUAGCGGUGAAAUGCGUAGAGAUCGGGAGGAAUACCAGUGGCGAAGGCGGCCUUCUGGACUGACACUGACACUGAGGUGCGAAAGCGUGGGUAGCAAACAGGAUUAGAUACCCUGGUAGUC
RNAcentral lists this ribosomal RNA (465 nucleotides) under Vreelandella stevensii. Its description in RNAcentral is "partial 16S ribosomal RNA". It matches the Rfam family "Bacterial small subunit ribosomal RNA", at positions 338 to 795 of the family's 1533-position model. The record is from RNAcentral. Lineage: Bacteria; Pseudomonadati; Pseudomonadota; Gammaproteobacteria; Oceanospirillales; Halomonadaceae.